GACGAACGCUGGCGGCGUGCCUAAUACAUGCAAGUCGAGCGAAGUUUUUCUGGUGCUUGCACUAGAAAAACUUAGCGGCGCACGGGUGAGUAACACGUAAAGAACCUGCCUCAUAGACUGGGACAACUAUUGGAAACGAUAGCUAAUACCGGAUAACAGUAUUUCUCGCAUGAGAGAUAUUUAAAAGUUGGUUAUGCUAACACUAUGAGAUGGCUUUGCGGUGCAUUAGCUAGUUGGUGGGGUAAAGGCCCACCAAGGCGACGAUGCAUAGCCGACCUGAGAGGGUGAUCGGCCACACUGGGACUGAGACACGGCCCAGACUCCUACGGGAGGCAGCAGUAGGGAAUCUUCCGCAAUGGGCGAAAGCCUGACGGAGCAACGCCGCGUGAGUGAAGAAGGAUUUCGGUUCGUAAAGCUCUGUUGUUAGGGAAGAAUGGAUAUGUAGUAACUAUACAUGUAAGAGACGGUACCUAACCAGAAAGCCACGGCUAACUACGU
RNAcentral lists this ribosomal RNA (498 nucleotides) under uncultured bacterium. Its description in RNAcentral is "partial 16S ribosomal RNA". It matches the Rfam family "Bacterial small subunit ribosomal RNA", at positions 28 to 506 of the family's 1533-position model. The record is from RNAcentral.